AUGGACGAAAGUCUGACGGAGCAACGCCGCGUGAGUGAAGAAGGUUUUCGGAUCGUAAAACUCUGUUGUAAGGGAAGAACACGUACCGCUAACUACUGGUACCUUGACGGUACCUUACCAGAAAGCCACGGCUAACUACGUGCCAGCAGCCGCGGUAAUACGUAGGUGGCAAGCGUUGUCCGGAAUUAUUGGGCGUAAAGCGCGCGCAGGCGGUCCCUUAAGUCUGAUGUGAAAGCCCACGGCUCAACCGUGGAGGGUCAUUGGAAACUGGGGGACUUGAGUGCAGAAGAGGAAAGUGGAAUUCCAUGUGUAGCGGUGAAAUGCGUAGAGAUGUGGAGGAACACCAGUGGCGAAGGCGACUUUCUGGUCUGUAACUGACGCUGAGGCGCGAAAGCGUGGGGAGCAAACAGGAUUAGAUACCC
This 422-nucleotide ribosomal RNA is filed under the name Planococcus sp. 1001Q. Its description in RNAcentral is "bacterial SSU rRNA". It matches the Rfam family "Bacterial small subunit ribosomal RNA", at positions 371 to 787 of the family's 1533-position model. Lineage: Bacteria; Bacillati; Bacillota; Bacilli; Caryophanales; Caryophanaceae. The record is from RNAcentral.